Molecule: long non-coding RNA, 2238 nt
Organism: Tigriopus californicus
Lineage: Eukaryota; Metazoa; Arthropoda; Copepoda; Harpacticoida; Harpacticidae
Exons: 2
Source: RefSeq, a predicted model, not a curated record
UGAAGCGCGAGCCUUGAAACCUUGACAUUGUUCCUCAUACUUCACUUCAUCUGUCAAGAAUAGUUUCUUAGUUCAAAUUGUGCCUGAAGUGUUGUAAAGUUGAAAUGGCAAGUUGAUUGAGAUGAACAUGAAUCCAUGGGCCCCACUUUUCCGCCCCCGGCUUGAACCCUCCAUCGCAUCUGUCAGUUUGAUGAAUUUGCCCCGUCAAACCGCCGGAGAAGAAUGCCUUCUUCUCCCUUCUCCUCCUCUUCCUCCUCCUCGGUUCCAAGUAGGCCCUGAUGCCUAGAAAUCUGAUGAAAAUUGGCUCCGUUUGAUCGAUGAAAUGUUCUCGGGGUCUUCAAGUACGUCCGAGGAUGUGGCUGUCUUGUGUCUUAUGCUCUUCGGACUCUCAGUGUUGGUGGGCGGUCUAAUCUAUCUACUCUGCCGAAUAUUUUGCUACGACUUUUGGGCCUCGUGUUGCUCUCGGUUCAAGGAAAAAGUGACACCUUCCCCACCGGGCUCAUCCUCCCACAAGAUGGAGAAAGGUUCCACUCACAGGAGCUUGGUCCAGAAGAUGAUGAUGAAUGCCCAGCAUAAUGAUAAGAACCGUUGGGCUAAGCGGAGGUUGAGUGAGGACUUCCUGGCUGGUCAGGAGGACGAUCAGAUUAUUUAUUCUACAGAUCCCGUGGUAGCUACCAUGCCGAAAAGGGACUCCAUAUUCAGCCAAACCUUGGCUUUGCCAGACACAUAUGGACGUCAAAACCCAUGGGGAGCUCGGCCCAAAGAGGGGCCCUAUUUCUGAAGAUCAUUCAAAUUUAAUACUUUUGACAAGUCAGUCAUGUUGACAGCCUGAUGAACUUUAUGAAUGAUUACGUUAUAGGCAGAGUGAAGUGUUGGAGAAAACGUCGAUUCUGUGUAAAUAAACCAAUCAAUGGGAACAAAAAAAAAGCUUGGCUCAAUUGAGAACACGUCUGGAUAGAUGGAAUUGGCUCAAUCUCGACGACGUUUCCUUGCAGUGGGCACGGCCUUCAAUCUCCUUUCCCAUCAAUUUCGAGAAUUGUCCCGGUCAUCGCCUCGAUUCCUGCCAAAGUGGCUCGAAGUGUCGCCAACAAAUUGGAUUCGUCGACAAGGAAUCGUUGAACUCCGCCAGGACCGCGUUGUCUCAUUUCGAAAGCAAAAGCAAAUUUGAUCUUCAUCUCCAAGUAGACCCAAUCUAGCACGCCACCUCUCUUGGGACCAAACAAGGCGCUCGUGGGGCCAUACUUGUAGUGUAGUCCCUCUUGAUUGGCCUCAAUGGCAGUUUUUGCCGCCUCAAGUACGGUCAUCUGAUCCCGAUAAUGCGGGGUCAUCUCUCUCCGAAAUCCGAAUGGAGACAAAAGUACGGUAGCGCAACAAUGGACGGUCAAGUACCCGAUCAUUUGGUAGCCUUGAUUGACGGCGCCUUUCAAUCCUUUUUGAAUGGCCAUGGACUCGGGCUCAGAGAAAGGAUGGGGUCCGUCAUAUUCCUGAGAACAAGGGUUGGAUACCCUGGAUUUAGAGCCCUGUGAAUUCAGGGCUAGGGUGUCCAAGGGGAAGUUCCGAUUCGGAUCGACCCCAAAACAAGUCCGAUUUCCUGCAAAGAAUGCGUAAUGAGAUGUUGGUUUGAAGAUUCUGGAAAUCCCCCGUACUCGAUUCGGCAUCACCUGUUUGAAAUUUUCGUCGGUUCUUUCGCCAGAGCCGAUCUACACUGUGAGAAUAUUCAUAACCAUCUGGAUUGAUCACCGGGGCCACGAAAAAUGUUACGCGACUGGUGAGGAAUUUCAAAUUUCCCGCCACUAGGAGCUGAAUGAAGUAAAUGCAGAAUGCGUGGGAAAUCCACUCGCGGCCGUGCAUCCCACAAUCAAUCCAGAUUGCCUUCUUUUGAGUAUGCACAGACGACAAAUUUGGAGUCCUUUUGUUGUUGGUGCGCCCGCUUUUUGGCCUUUGAGUCCGGUUGUUGACAACAUUCACACCAUCUUGAGCAAUUUUGAACACUUUGAUGGGUCGACCUUCGCCACUUUUCAGAAGAACUUGGUGCGUCAAAGACGGGGAUCUCCGCUCCAAAUUAUCCAAGAACUCGAACAUUUCGGUGAGGUUAUGACUUUUUCCAUGGUCAUAUCCUUGCACUUGCACUAUAACUAAUAUCAUAAAAUUCAAGACGAGUCUGUUACACAACAUGUUCGUACUAUGAGCCGUUCGGUCGAUCUACGAACGUAGGUAAAUAUAUCUAUCUAGAGGGCA